RNAcentral lists this long non-coding RNA (2247 nucleotides) under Homo sapiens (human). Its description in RNAcentral is "HSALNT0219879". Lineage: Eukaryota; Metazoa; Chordata; Mammalia; Primates; Hominidae. The record is from RNAcentral.
GUGAAAACACUCAAUUAUCUCCAUUCAUCCAUACCUUCCUUCUUUUACUCAUUUAACAAACAUUCUCAUGCCAGUACUUUGCUGAGUCCUGGGGACGCAGGAUGAAUAAAUGGAGAAGGAUCCAAUCUAGAGCUGACUGUAUUCUCUGGUUUAGCACAUAAGGGAGUGUGAGAAAGUCGUAGGUUCCAUUGUUAGAUCUGUUUAACAAGUAUUUAUUGGGCGUCCAUUAAAUGCCAGGCACUGUGGUGGGCACUGGGACUGUCUAGGUAAAUAGAGAUUGCUGCUGUUAAGGAGUGUCGAGUGGGGAAGACAUGCUAAAUCGGUAAUUUGCCUUCAAUUUACUUAAUUACGUAAGUGAACUGGUUAGGGGAGCACAGAAGAAAAGCACUUAUGCCCAUGGUAGGGGCUAGUGGGAUGAGGCAAGUUUUGACAUUUAAACAAAUUGUUGGCUAGAAGUCAGGAAAAGCAGAAAUUAAACUACAUACCAAUAUGGGGAUGGAGUACCCAGAAAGCAGAGACACCAUGAAACAGUGUGGCACAGUGGUGAACCGCAAGUUUCUGGGUAAUGCUAGCAUCUAAAGCAUAAGGUAGGGAGAGGGGGGAGUUAGACUGGAGAAGUAGCAAAGUUAAAAGGUUAAAAGUGUGUAAAAUCAACUGAUGAGACCAAAUGCUAAUAAACCACAACAAUGGUAGCUGCAUAAAGAGUUAGCAGUUUUCCUUAGACUUCUUUCCACUAAAAUCCAAAUAAAAGGAGCGUUGUUUUCCUAUCAAGAUUCUUGGAACCAGGGAAAUGAUAAAUGCUUAAAAGUAAUAUUUUGGUCUUGACCAAAAGGUAAAGGAUACCAUUCGUACCAUGCCACAGUGAAGAGCCUACUUCCUACCUCUCAUCCCCAGCAAGCCAAAUAUAGGGAUCGACUCCGAAGUCUUCACUGAUAAUGUAGACUGAAAACACGGCUAAUCCAUGGCUUGAAACGACCUACCAGCAUAUCCUUCUGCAAUCUAAAAGUUUAUUUUUUCCUGGAUUUAGGAACUCAGUCUAGGGCAAAUUGCACUCUUCAGGUGGCACUCUGGAAAGCUGACGAUUGUGGAAUUUUAGCAAGGAAUUUAGGAAUCUCCAGAAUUUAAUUUUUUUUCCCUCUUUGCUGCUACUGCAGAUGCAGGACAACUCAAGAGCUUUCUGUCUCCAGGUGGGUGGCGAUUUGACUCCUCAUCAAGCCAAUGGCCACCCCCUUGCAAUCUUUAUGCAAUGCACAGUAUCCUCUGCCUGCAACGGGGGCUUGCUCCCUUGAUGGAGAAAAUACAGAAUAACUGGACGCCAGGAAACAGGCACAGCUUUCUGGGUCAGAAGUUGGCUGGGGAAGGGCCCUGACUGCCAAGUAACUUGCAAUGAUGUCAGAGCCCAGCACAACCAGAAAACACCAACUAGCCGGCCAACAAAAGACCUAAUAACAACAGGAAAAAAAUCACAGAGCUGUGUUGCCAAAGCUGUUCUUUCCGCCCCCUACUCUUUUCUUCUAAUUGGAAGAACAGCAGGAAAGAGUCUAUAUUUUAAAAGACUCCUCAUCCUUCUCUCCCCUUCUUUCCUUGGGUUACACAGUGUUAACUAGGGAGGAAAUAGUUCUCCGGAUGAGUCCUGCAGCAGUUGCUUGGGGUGUCUUUUUUGAGUUCCUUUUCAAGGCUGUCCUUGGAAGUUUCAGAAACAACGAGGACCAGGGUAUUUUUCCUAAAUGUAAACAUGUAACUGUGUUUGGGAGAAAGCAGGAACCAUUGAGGAAAGGAAGUCCUUUCUGCGCCCCUCUCUUCUCUCUUUCACGGUAAUUAACCAUACUCAAAUGAAAAUUAAGUUUGGCGGAAAAAGCUCUCUUCUUUUUCUUUAAACAGGGGCAUCAUGGUUCAUUCUAGCCAUUUAGAGCCCUCAGUGAUCCAUAAUUCAACUGGAAAUUAAUAAAACACAGCCCGUUCUUGGAAAUGAAGUUUGAAUUAAAAUCCUCUUGUUUUGGAAUAUGUGACUUUUUUUUUCCUUUCAUUUGUGACAGUCAAUUUUAAAUGAUGUCACUUCAAGGACAUUUUCAUUUCUCCCACAACAUAUUACAUGAAACACUUGCCUGUAAAACCGGGUCAUUAGCCUGCAAAAUUAUACUGUACAGAAUGGCUUUCAUUCAAAGUAGAAAUGGGAUUUUUAGUAGGCAAUUUCUGUAUUUUAUAAAGAUAAAGCAAUGUUUGAUUGCUUUCUUCCCAGCUGUUUUG